This is a long non-coding RNA of Gorilla gorilla gorilla (western lowland gorilla), 357 nucleotides long. RefSeq lists it as uncharacterized. The record is from RefSeq and is a predicted model, not a curated record. The transcript is spliced from 2 exons. Lineage: Eukaryota; Metazoa; Chordata; Mammalia; Primates; Hominidae.
UGAGCCUCGCCCGCGAUUCCCGGCGCGGCACGUGUUCCUGGCAGGCGCCCAGCGCCAGGAGACUGUACCGUUACCGCCUGCGAUGGUAUCGCGGAGACGCCCUUGGGAGCCAUCCGAUAUGGUACUAUUAUCAGGCCCAUUUUAUAAAUGAGGCAACCGAAACUCCGUAUGUGACAGAUCCAGGAUUCAAACCCAAUCUGUCAACUUCACAGCUUUUAUGGACACUGCAUUGUCUCUAUCUACUUUUUAAAAUUUCACAAGGUCCUGUGGCUUUCCUUCAGUGCUGUUUUCUUGGAAAUUUUUAUUUAUUAUUAAAUCAGUUUUAAAACCCUAUAGAGAAUAAAUGGUUUCACUCAA